RNAcentral lists this long non-coding RNA (208 nucleotides) under Carica papaya (papaya). Its description in RNAcentral is "long non-coding RNA (CPAP_LNC010621)". Lineage: Eukaryota; Viridiplantae; Streptophyta; Magnoliopsida; Brassicales; Caricaceae. The record is from RNAcentral.
UGUAGAGUAUAAGGAUCCUAGAUACCUUACUCGUUUAGUAUGAAUCGAGGAGGGAAAAGUGCGUGUGUGGCGAAGUUCAGCAGGUAUGGUGAACCUGCAUAUAGAUAGUUAUGUGGAACCUAGUUCAAACAUUCAAACAUGAAUAAGUAUUUGUGAGUGUGUGGGUCACCUAACAAACAUACCUACUGUAACUAAUGUGAGAUUGUGU